GACGUAGGGCGCGAGCGUUGUCCGGAUUUAUUUGGCGUAAAGAGCUCGUAGGCUGCUUGUUGCGUCGGCUGUGAAAACCCAUGGCUCAACCGUGGGCUUGCAGCCGAUACGGGCAGGCUAGAGUUCGGUAGGGGAGACUGGAAUUCCUGGUGUAGCGGUGAAAUGCGCAGAUAUCAGGAGGAACACCGGUGGCGAAGGCGGGUCUCUGGGCCGAUACUGACGCUGAGGAGCGAAAGCGUGGGGAGCGAACAGG
Molecule: ribosomal RNA, 253 nt
Filed under: uncultured bacterium
Lineage: Bacteria
Description: partial 16S ribosomal RNA
Rfam family: Bacterial small subunit ribosomal RNA
Source: RNAcentral